Molecule: long non-coding RNA, 754 nt
Organism: Setaria italica (foxtail millet)
Lineage: Eukaryota; Viridiplantae; Streptophyta; Magnoliopsida; Poales; Poaceae
Exons: 2
Source: RefSeq, a predicted model, not a curated record
AGAAGGUAUGCUGCCGGAGGCAGAUCAAAGUCUAUUCAAAUGUUAAUAUGAUUCAUGCUUCGUUUCUGUAGGAGUAUAUGCAUUUUAGCAUAAUCUCAUAAGGACACAAACACUCCCCUCAUAUUCUUUUUUGACAAGGUUGUGUGCAGUUUUGAGCUCUUUAGGCUUUUGAACUUUACGUUUGUUCUUAUUUCUGUUCAUUUCUGGCAAUGGGAACUGCAACCAGACUCCUCAAUGCAGCUAUCAUCAUUGUAAUGAAUAGGAUACGAUGAUUUCUGUCUUGUUAUGUUGGGCUUAACAUGUAAUCAAUUUUGCACUGGAUUUAUAUUUUUUAACCUGCUGAAUCUUUUCCUACAAAGUAUGUUUAUAUCUGAACUUUAUUCAUCUGCCUGCAGCUCCCAGAUCACACCUUUGCAAACAGCUAGAGUAUAUAUCAAACCGGUUGAGAAUCAUACAAUGACGGGUUGAUCGAAGGACUGCACCUUUCAGUUUUACAAAGAGAUAGAUAACAUGUUGUCUUAGGUCAUUCUAGUUCAGUUCACUAAUUCGUAUCCGUUGGCUUCAGAUUUUAGACUAGGCUCUUCCGUUGACAGGUUGCGAAAUAAGAUGAAAACUGCUGCUUUGGUAGACUUUACACUAGUAAUGGAGAUGGUGUUCUGGAAGUGAACACUAAUCUUGUUAUGAUCGAGUGCACUUGUAAACUAAUACGUCAUAUAUAUAAUAAGGUUUUCUGUUAUUACAGUUUGAGACGAAA